CAAGCGAUGGGGUGACGCAGGAAGGUAGCUGGGCCAGUCAGUGGUUGUACUGGUGUAAGAGUGUAGGCCGUGACAUAGGCAAAUCCGUGUCACAUUAAGGCUGAGACUUGAUGCAUACCCGUUGUGGGGAAUUCAGUGAUCCUAUGCUGCCGAGAAAAGCCUCUAGUGAGUUCAUACACGGCCCGUACCCCAAACCGACACAGGUGAUCAGGUAGAGAAUACCAAGGCGAUCGAGAGAACUGUGGUUAAGGAACUCGGCAAAAUGCCCCCGUAACUUCGGGAGAAGGGGGACCAUGCCCGGUGAACAUCUUCACGGUGGGAGCUGGGUGUGGUCGCAGAGACCAGAGAGAAGCGACUGUUUACUAAAAACACAGGUCCGUGCGAAGACGUAAGUCGAUGUAUACGGACUGACGCCUGCCCGGUGCUGGAAGGUUAAGAGGACCGGUUAGCCGUAAGGCGAAGCUGAGAAUUUAAGCCCCAGUAAACGGCGGUGGUAACUAUAACCAUCCUAAGGUAGCGAAAUUCCUUGUCGGGUAAGUUCCGACCUGCACGAAUGGCGUAACGACUUCUCUGCUGUCUCGACCACAGACUCGGCGAAAUUGCACUACGAGUAAAGAUGCUCGUUACGCGCGGCAGGACGAAAAGACCCCGGGACCUUUACUAUAGCUUGGUAUUGGCGUUCGAUUCGGUUUGUGUAGGAUAGGAGGGAGACUGUGAAGCAUGCACGCCAGUGUGUGUGGAGUCGUUGUUGAAAUACCACUCUGAUCGUAUUGGACGUCUAACCUCGGCCCAUGAUCUGGGUUAGGGACAGUGCCUGGUGGGUAGUUUAACUGGGGCGGUUGCCUCCUAAAGAGUGACGGAGGCGCCCAAAGGUUCCCUCAGCCUGGAUGGCAAUCAGGUGUUGAGUGCAAGUGCACAAGGGAGCUUGACUGUGAGACUGACACGUCGAGCAGGGACGAAAGUCGGGACUAGUGAUCCGGCACCGGCAAGUGGAAGCGGUGUCGCUCAACGGAUAAAAGGUACCCCGGGGAUAACAGGCUGAUCUUCCCCAAGAGUCCAUAUCGACGGGAUGGUUUGGCACCUCGAUGUCGGCUCGUCGCAUCCUGGGGCUGGAGUAGGUCCCAAGGGUUGGGCUGUUCGCCCAUUAAAGCGGCACGCGAGCUGGGUUUAGAACGUCGUGAGACAGUUCGGUCUCUAUCCGCCGCGCGCGUAAGAAACUUGAGGAAGGCUGUCCCUAGUACGAGAGGACCGGGACGGACGAACCUCUGGUGUGCCAGUUGUUCCACCAGGAGCAUGGCUGGUUAGCUACGUUCGGAAGGGAUAACCGCUGAAAGCAUCUAAGCGGGAAGCCUGUUCCAAGAUGAGGUUUCUCACCACCUUGCGUGGUUAAGGCCCCCUACAGACCAUGGGGUUGAUAGGCCGGAACUGGAAGCGCAGCAAUGCGUGGAGGUGACCGGUACUAAUAGGCCGAGGGCUUACACCA
Molecule: ribosomal RNA, 1483 nt
Filed under: metagenome
Description: bacterial LSU rRNA
Rfam family: Bacterial large subunit ribosomal RNA
Source: RNAcentral